Molecule: ribosomal RNA, 370 nt
Filed under: uncultured eukaryote
Lineage: Eukaryota
Description: SSU rRNA
Rfam family: Eukaryotic small subunit ribosomal RNA
Source: RNAcentral
CAAUAGCGUAUAUUAAAAUUGUUGCGGUUAAACGCUCGUAGUUGGAUAUUUGUCAAGGACUGCCGGUCUACCCUAGUGGUCAGCACUCGGUAUGUCCUAGGCAUUUUCCUGGAGACAGUGUUCGUACUUAAUUGUAUGGCACAUGAACCAGAACUUUACUUUGAGGAAAUGAGAGUGUUUCAAGCAGGCGUACGUCGUGAAUACGUUAGCAUGGAAUAAUAGCAUAGGACCCGCUCGUGAAGCUGUUGGUUUUUGGGCCGAGGUAAUGAAAAUAGGGGAUAGUUGGGGCAUUGCGUAUUAAUACUGUCAGAGGUGAAAUUCUUGGAUUUUUAAGACGGACUACUGCGAAAGCAUCUGCCCAGGAUGUUUU